GCUUAAUCCCCAGCCCCUUCCAGUAAUUAUCUGACUGCAUGACUGUCAGCCCAACGAGCGCUUAGGGUUCACCAUGGUGAUGGAAGAUGGAAGAGACACGCUCGUGAUACCAACCAAGCUCUAGAGAAGGACAAAGUAUGAGAGGAAAGAAGAGGUGGCAGGAUGCCACACAGAAAGGGAGAGGGAUAGGA
RNAcentral lists this long non-coding RNA (191 nucleotides) under Chinchilla lanigera (long-tailed chinchilla). Its description in RNAcentral is "lncRNA (ENSCLAG00000027550.1)". Lineage: Eukaryota; Metazoa; Chordata; Mammalia; Rodentia; Chinchillidae. The record is from RNAcentral.